UACGUAGGGUGCAAGCGUUGUCCGGAAUUAUUGGGCGUAAAGGGCUCGUAGGCGGUCCAUCGCGUCGGGAGUGAAAAGCUGGGGCUUAACCCCAGUCCUGCUUCCGAUACGGGUGGACUAGAGUGUGGUAGGGGAGACUGGAAUUCCUGGUGUAGCGGUGAAAUGCGCAGAUAUCAGGAGGAACACCGAUGGCGAAGGCGGGUCUCUGGGCCGAUACUGACGCUGAGGAGCGAAAGCGUGGGGAGCGAACAGG
This 253-nucleotide ribosomal RNA is filed under the name uncultured bacterium. RNAcentral describes it as "partial 16S ribosomal RNA". It matches the Rfam family "Bacterial small subunit ribosomal RNA", at positions 524 to 776 of the family's 1533-position model. The record is from RNAcentral.